This 301-nucleotide ribosomal RNA is filed under the name uncultured bacterium. Its description in RNAcentral is "partial 16S ribosomal RNA". It matches the Rfam family "Bacterial small subunit ribosomal RNA", at positions 509 to 807 of the family's 1533-position model. The record is from RNAcentral.
CAGCCGCCACGGUAAUACGAAGGGGGCUAGCGUUGCUCGGAAUGACUGGGCGUAAAGGGCGCGUAGGCGGAUUGUUUAGUUAGGCGUGAAAUUCCUGGGCUUAACCUGGGGACUGCGCUUAAUACAGGCAGUCUAGAGUGAGGAAGAGGGUUGUGGAAUUUCCGGUGUAGCGGUGAAAUGCGUAGAUAUCGGAAGGAACACCAGUGGCGAAGGCGGCUACCUGGACUGACACUGACACUGAGGCGCGAAAGCGUGGGGAGCAAACAGGAUUAGAUACCCGUGUAGUCCCUGUCUCUUAUAC